RNAcentral lists this ribosomal RNA (274 nucleotides) under uncultured bacterium. RNAcentral's name for it is "partial 16S ribosomal RNA". It matches the Rfam family "Bacterial small subunit ribosomal RNA", at positions 84 to 354 of the family's 1533-position model. The record is from RNAcentral.
UUUGAUGGCGACCGGCGCACGGGUGAGUAACACGUAUGCAACCUGCCCGUGGCAGGGGGAUAAGCGGGGGAAACCCCGUCUAAUACCGCGUAACGCGGCCUAGGGACAUCCCAAGGCCGCCAAAGGGAGCAAUCCCGGCCACGGAUGGGCAUGCGGCGCAUUAGCUAGUCGGCGGGGUAACGGCCCACCGAGGCGACGAUGCGUAGGGGUUCUGAGAGGAAGGCCCCCCACACUGGUACUGAGACACGGACCAGACUCCUACGGAAGGCAGCAG